CUUGUUAGAGUAGAUUUAUGUAUGCUUUCGGGUAGGAAAUAAUAUAAUAGCCAAGUAUCUGCGUAUAUUUCAUGCCCUCGUGCCCUACUUUUUACUAGUUUUGAUAUUUUGAAGCUGCUCAGCUCAUCUGCCAGUCUUUCCAAAUGUCUCACAUCUCCAGAAAAGCUUCCAAUGUAUUCAUUGGAAAAAAAAAUUCCCACACAGAAAUGUGUCUGCACAGCCCUAUAUCAAGGAUCACAUAUGCGUCUGUGGGUUAACCUUGUCAAGUCAGAUUGCAAGUAACGUGGGUAGGUCUGUGGUAAAUUUCCCGUUGAUUAAGAAAAGGUUAAUUCAUGAAGAAACUUGAAGUAUGUCACCUGUUUUACAAUGAUUUUCUAGCAUUGACGAAAUCAACCACUCUCGCUAUUUGGAAUGUGAGUUGUUAAGUGAACCUUGUCCGCUUGUUUGUCCUUCAGAGUCAAAACCUCUGGGCCGCCUAAGUGGCUCAAGGGGUUAAGCGUCUGACUCUUGGUUUCAGCUCAGGUCAUGAUGUCAUGGUUCACGGAUUGAGCCCUGCACCGGGCUCUGCCCUCGACUGACUGGAGAGUGUGCGUCCACCUCCUUGGAGCCCACCUGUACGCCGUGUCUUGGGCGGGCACUCAGUAUUGGCGGGAGAGAAACCCCAUGCGUGGUGAUGGUCCCUGGCAUCCCUCUCUUCAGAAACACUUCGUCCAUAAUAUUUCCUGCUUGACUAAGGAAAUAAGACUUAUACACUGCCUUUCGUCAAGAGUCGUACCAUCAUUUUUGAAAAGUACAUUUCAUAUGUUUGUCUCUGAUUGGGCCAGGUGUUCAGUCUAAGGGCUUUUCAAUACCGUCAGCCUUUCCACAAGCCAGCUUGCCAGACGAGGCCAGAGGCUGGGGAUGGGCAGCAGGGUUCUCAGGCUGUUGUUCCCAAGUCAGCAGGGUUUCUGAGUCAUAAACCUGCCAGGCACCUGAAAAUGUCUGUCCCCUUGAGAGUAGGUCCCUACGAAAAUCCCUGGGACUCCUGUGGGUGGUGAGGAGGGGACUUGUGUGUGUUGCUACUUGACGUUGGUGAGUGUGCUCUGGAGAGCCACGGAGGCCUGGUGCACUCUUGCUAAUGACCCCCUGUGACUCUCCACUUUUGUCCCCUCUCUGACCCCUGGAGUGUACAGCCCUUGCUGAAGAGCUCAACAGCUGUAGGAGCAGCUCUUGCAGAGAAAGGAAGAGGUCGUCCAACUGAAGGCAGAGAAAAAACACCAGGCUGCUGCUGGAACAUUUGGAGUUCCUCUUCUACAGGCACUAGAGAUCUUUUCGGAAAACGGUGGUGAGGCUACAGAAGACUCCAGCCGGCGUGUACAGUGAGGCCGAGGGGCUGAAGGUCUUUAAACUCCAUAUUGGAGAACAAAAGGGAGGAAGAAACGGUGUGCCUCGCCACGGCGGUUCUCGACUUGUGCACAUGCUGUGUGUUAUCAGGCAUACAUUGCGUUUUUGUGUGACUGGAAUUUCCUUUUAAGCUCCUUGAAUUCAUGUAAGAAGACGGGUCUUUAUGGAUAAAAAGCAGUGGUUGGUGGAAAUGUGUGUACCGAUUUGCUGGUACAAAUUGCAUAAUGUAAUUUAUUUCGGGGAACAUUUGUCUCCAAUGUAAAAUUGAAAGCUGUUAACAAGCAAGUUUGUGAACAUGAGCAUCCUUGAAAGUCCUUACCAGCAUUCUGUCAUGUUAUUUGAAGCGAAGGGGACCUUAGGGUGGCUUUACAGUACGGAUUAAUGAAAAAUCCUCCACGUACAAACUCAACCGCUUGGUUCCAGGUGAGAGAGCAGUUAUGUGUGGCACUGGAGUGGUAUAGUUUCUUCGAAGAAGAAUCAGGGGCUACAUGCAAAGAGUACAGAGCCAGAUGAAGGAGUGCCUAGCUGCCCUCUCCACUCUCGUGGCCAAGGUGGAGGAAGAUCUAGACAACGCGCGGAAGGAUGUCACCAUUUCAGAAGUAAUGAACACCAUGUUACGACGAGAUGUGCAUGAAGUGAGAGGCAGUUGAGAAGGCCUCGCUGUCUUCAAGUCAAACGUGGGGUGUUUGAUUCGGUCUUUGCCCACUCUGUCCUUACUCUCAUAUAUUUUUUGAACGUUUUGGUAGAAGUAGCUGUAAAACGGAACAUUAUUCCAGGGCCUGGCAGCUGCCUCCCCGUCUGUAUGAUGGAAUCUGUCCUCCCUGGGCUCUAACCUACCAAGGCCUGGUGAGUAGGCGGCGUAGUGCCUUCAGGUGUGGAGUGCGUGCCACCUGAUCUUGUCCCACGCCAUGCUAACAGUCCGUUCUGGUAACACGCUCAGCACACUCGAACCACUGUGGUUCAGCCGCUCUGUUACUGGCACUGUGUCCGGGGCUGGCUCUUGUGCAUAUGCUCUGUGCUCCCGGGUCACGGCCUGGAAGGGUUGCUGAGGGUUCUCGACUCAGGGCGCUUAGAGUCCAGAUCAGCUUGGGAGGGAGAGUGUCAUCUCCCUGGAGCAGCCCUCUCCGGCAGCUGCUGGCCUAUGCUUCUCACUCGUGUGGGGCGGUGUGUCCUGUGCCAAGCACACGUGGAAGAUGCUCUUCCAUGCGUCCCCCAAUCCGACAGGCUCUCAGGAUAGUCCCUUGAGCAACCUCAGCAGCAGUAGCAGUAACCACGACUCGCUGCACAACGCCCUCAAAAAGAAGGUCAUCUUUUUGAGGUCUGCUUGUUAGACAAGAAACAAAAGGUCCACCCCGGCCACGCUAGUGCUCUAUAUAGCUGGAAAGGGGUUCUAUAUAGCUGUAAAUAGGUUAUAUCUCCUCCAUAGUGAACCUAAGGCCCGUAUUAAGAUAUGGUUCCUGGAGGACGUAGGGCAUGUAUGAAAUCUGGAAAGGACUCACGUGGAAUCCCACUCCACCUUGUGAAGUUGUGCAGGGAGGGCCUGACCCCAGAGCACUUGACUCUGAGCCUGGCUCCUGCACAGAUGAGUUUGGGGCUUUGGGGAAGCUACAUAUUAGCAUUCCUGUGCUUCCACUUAAUCACCUGUUAAUAGGAUCUGUGGGAGCACUUCCGUCAUAUGGCUUAUAGGAGGUCUGCAUCCAAACAUCUACGAGAUAUUUUGAUCACAGAAGCUCCAUCACAUUAUGUGUAACUGCAGCCCCUGUGGGGACAU
Leopardus geoffroyi (Geoffroy's cat) is the source of this 3154-nucleotide long non-coding RNA. RefSeq lists it as uncharacterized. The record is from RefSeq and is a predicted model, not a curated record. The transcript has 3 exons. Lineage: Eukaryota; Metazoa; Chordata; Mammalia; Carnivora; Felidae.